Molecule: long non-coding RNA, 1491 nt
Filed under: Phoenix dactylifera (date palm)
Lineage: Eukaryota; Viridiplantae; Streptophyta; Magnoliopsida; Arecales; Arecaceae
Description: long non-coding RNA (PDAC_LNC002561)
Source: RNAcentral
UGAUCUGAUGUUGUAGUUAUGCGGGGGCUCUUGCAAAGAGAAGAGAAAUUGAGGGAAAAGGGAGAGAGAUGGAAAAACAGAAAAUCCCCUAGCUCUUAAAAAUGUAAGGCAUAAUGGGUCAUCACUUACUAAUUUCUAACUGAGAGACACGAAAUUAUAUUUUUCAGGUCAAUCAGCUUAAUCGGAAGUUCCUUGUUAAUAACCAAGUUAAAUAUCUGAUAGACAACUUGAUUAGCACUAAUAGAAGUUUAGUGCUUCAUCAAUAAUUACGCUGGAAGAAUUUUCUGAGAACUAGAAUGAGAGGAAACACAGCCAAAAUCAGGUCAGAUAUUAAAGUACUACAGUUUUGAUAAGUUAUCCUUCUUUUGCAAAAUAACUCAUUUAGUGUCAUGAAUAAGGUAGCCUCUUUUUGGUUAAACUUUGCUCGCUCUUGUUGAUAACAUUGUACGUUAUAUUCUUCUCUUAACCAAAUACUUUUUUAAUUUAUUUGUGGUUCUUCUGCUUUACUCCUUUAAGUAUCUUCUUCCUACACUCUCACUUCCUCAGUUGUUAUCGAAUUUAGUUCUGCUGUAAAGGGCCACAAUCAUGCAAUGCAUAAAUUAAAUGGAUCAACUAACUUUGCAAUUGCACAAUAAAAAUCAUAAAAUGCAUGCAUAUGUGAAGUUGAUGGAAAGUUCAUUAGAGAACCAAGAAGGUCUUAAAGAAUUAGUUAUUAUAAUGAUGUGAAAGUAAUUAAGCAAGAUCACAUAAGAUGCUUCAGGUGAAAAGCAGCAAUUAUGCUUCAUCUUCAUAUCAGAAUCAUGUUGCUGCAGGUCAAAAAGCUGGGAUUAAUAUUGAGUGUUUUCCUAUGCAGAAGUUCUUUCAGAGGUCUUUGCAUAUCUAUUUUAAUAUGCUGAGCCACAUUAAGGGAAACUAAUAUUUUUGGAUUGUUUAUUUAUGGAAGGAAAUAUGACUGCGAGACACCUAGAAACUAAGUAAAGCUAGUAAACAUUAAUGGGAAAAAUCCAGUAAAGAUAUAUAUAUAUAGAACAACAAUUGACUAACUAGAAAAGUAUUAAACAGAUAUCUAGUAUAUACAACCAACCAGAAACUAUGCCUAGAUCCCAGACACCAAUUACAGGAAGAUACACCUGUACUUAGGAAAUAUGGUGAUUUUAUUCAGAGUUUAUUAUUUCCUAUUGAACAAGAAAUAACAGAGGAAAAAGAAGUUAUGGAAUUAGGAGUGGACUUUCAUGGUAAGAAGCACAUGCCCACAAACUAUGUUCCCUCACAUGUGAUGUUUUAUAAAUUUUAACUACUGCAUGCAAGAUGUGGAGUAAUUAAAUUUACAGUUCACAGAACCCCUUUUCAACUGGGUAGACUUGAUAAUGCAUAAUCUCCAGAAGCCUUUCUUAUGUAAGUGUUUCCAUGCAAAAACUUCUUAUGGAAGAAGUACAAACUUCCAGGUCUAUUAUUUCACUAGGAUAAUUUAGUAUACAUCUUUCAGAGGAA